RNAcentral lists this ribosomal RNA (454 nucleotides) under Legionella pneumophila. RNAcentral describes it as "bacterial SSU rRNA". It matches the Rfam family "Bacterial small subunit ribosomal RNA", at positions 425 to 870 of the family's 1533-position model. The record is from RNAcentral. Lineage: Bacteria; Pseudomonadati; Pseudomonadota; Gammaproteobacteria; Legionellales; Legionellaceae.
GUAAAGCACUUUCAGUGGGGAGGAGGGUGAUUUGGUUAAGAGCUGAGUUACUGGACGUUACCCACAGAAGAAGCACCGGCUAACUCCGUGCCAGCAGCCGCGGUAAUACGGAGGGUGCGAGCGUUAAUCGGAAUUACUGGGCGUAAAGCGUGCGUAGGUGGUUGAAUAAGUUAUCUGUGAAAUUCCCGGGCUCAACCUGGGACGGUCAGGUAAGACUGUUUGACUCGAGUAUGGGAGAGGGUAGUGGAAUUUCCGGUGUAGCGGCGAAAUGCGUAGAGAUCGGAAGGAACACCAGUGGCGAAGGCGGCUACCUGGCCAGAUACUGACACUGAAGCACGAAAGCGUGGGGAGCAAACAGGAUUAGAUACCCUGGUAGUCCACGCUGUAAACGAUGUCAACUAGCCGUUGGUCAUAUUAAGAUGAUAAGUGGCGCAGCAAACGCGAUAAGUUGACC